AGGCAAGAUGUUGGCAUAGCUGUUGACCUAAUAACCUGCUAUGCCAACAUAUUGUCAUC
This 59-nucleotide microRNA precursor is filed under the name Chrysemys picta bellii (western painted turtle). RNAcentral's name for it is "Cpi-Mir-31_pre stem-loop". It matches the Rfam family "mir-31 microRNA precursor family", at positions 12 to 71 of the family's 83-position model. Lineage: Eukaryota; Metazoa; Chordata; Testudines; Emydidae. The record is from RNAcentral.